UCAAAGCAUUUCGCUUACACCGAAAAAACAUCUGUGAAAAUCUGAUCGUUUCG
This 53-nucleotide transfer RNA is filed under the name Physalaemus albonotatus (Menwig frog). Its description in RNAcentral is "partial tRNA-Val". Lineage: Eukaryota; Metazoa; Chordata; Amphibia; Anura; Leptodactylidae. The record is from RNAcentral.